RNAcentral lists this ribosomal RNA (2959 nucleotides) under Ziziphus jujuba (common jujube). Lineage: Eukaryota; Viridiplantae; Streptophyta; Magnoliopsida; Rosales; Rhamnaceae. The record is from RNAcentral.
AUCCAUGGACUGACCCCAUCAUCUCCAUCCUGUAGGAACUACGAGAUCAACCCAAGGACGCCUUUAACAUCAAGGGGUCGUGGAUCGAUGAUAGAACCCUAUUCAAUAAAUGGAACGCAUUAGCUGUCCAUUUUUAGGUUGGGCAGUAAGGGAGAAGGGCAAUCACUCAUUCUUAAAACCAGCAUUCUUAAGACCAAAGAGUCGGGUGGAAAAGGGGGGAAAGCUCUCUGUUCUUGGUUCUCAUGUAGCUAGAUCCUCCAGAACCACAAGAAUCCUUAGUUAGAAUGGGAUUCCAACUUAGCACCUUUUGAGAUUUUGAGAAGAGUUGCUUUUUGGAGAGCACAGUACAAUUAAAGUUGUAAGCUGUGUUCGGGGGGAAGUUAUUGUCUAUCGUUGGCCUUUAUGGUAGAAUCAGUCGGGGGCUUGAGAGGCGAUUGUUUACCCUGUGGCGGAUGUCAGCGGUUCGAUCUAUGCUAUGAUUUAUCAUUCAUGGACAUUGAUAAGAUCUUCCCACUUAGCAGCACCUUAGUGAAAUAGAACAUGAAACUGUAAGCUCCCAAGCAUUGUGAGGAUACCAGGGCUCUAACCGCGUGCCUGCUGAAGAUUGAGCUGGCAACUUAUAGGCAGUGACUUGGUCAAGGGAACCCACCAGAGCUGUAGCGAAAAUGAGUCUUCAUAGGGUAAUUGUCAUUGCUUACGGACCCGAACCUGGGUGAUCUAUCCAUGACCAAGAUGAAACUUGGGUGACACUAAGUGGAGGUCCGAAUCGAAUGAUGUUGAAGAAUCAGCGAAUGAAUUGUGGUUAGGGGUGAAAUGCCACUCGAACCCAGAGCUAGCUGGUUCUCCCUGCAGCUAACUGGACAUCUAGGGGUAAAGUACUGUUUCAGUGCAGGCUGCAAGAGCGGUACCAAAUCGAGGCAAAAUCUGAAUACUAGAUAUGACCUCAAAAUAACAGGGGUCAAGGUCGGCCAGUGAGACGAUGGGGGAUAAGCUUCAUCAUCGAGAGGGAAACAGCCCGGAUCAUCAGCUAAGGCCCCUAAAUGACCACUCAGUGAUAAAGGAGGUAGGGGUGCAGAGACAGCCAGGAGGUUUGCCUAGAAGCAACCACCCUUGAAAUAGUGCGUAAUAGCUCACUGAUCGAGCUCUCUCGUGCCGAAGAUGAAUGGGCCUAAACGAUCUACCGAAGCUGUGGGAUGUAAAAAUGCAUCGGUAGGGGAGCGUUCCUUCUAGAGGGAAGCACCGGACGAGCAGUGGUAAACGAAGCUGAAGCAAGAAUGUAGGCUUGAGUAACACAAAUAUUGGUGAGAAUCCAAUGCCCUGAAAACCUAAGGGUUCCUCUGCCAGGUUUGUCCACAAAGGGUGAGUCAAGGCCUAAGAUCAGGCCGAAAGGCGUAGUCAAUGGACAGCAGGUGAAUAUUCCUGUACUACCCCUUGUUUGUCCCAAGGGAUGAAGGAGGUUAGGUUAGCCGAAAGAUGGUUAUCGGUUUAAAGCAUGCAAGGUGCCCUUGCUUUUUCAGGGUAAGAAGGGGUAGAGAAAAUGCCCCGAGCCAAUGUUCAAGUGCCAGGCGCUACGGUAGUGAAGUAACCCAUGCCAUACUCCCAGGAAAAGCUUGAACGACCUUCAAUAAAAGGGUACCUGUAUCCUAAACCGAUAGAGGUCUGUAGGUAGAGAAUACCUAGGGGCACGAGAGAACUCUCUCUAAGGAACUCUGCAAAAUAGCCCCAUAACUUUUGGAGAAGGGGUGCCUCCUCACAAAGGGGGUCGCAGUGACCAAGCGCGGGCGAUUGUUUACCAAAAACACAGAUCUCUGCAAAGUCGUAAGACCAUGUGUGGGGGCUGACACCUGCCUAGUGUCGGAAGGUCAAGGAAGUUGGUGACCUAAUGAUAGGGGAGCCGACGACCGAAGCCUCGGUGAAGUUCCAACCCGCAUGAAAGGCAUAACGAUCUAGGCACUCUCUCAGAGAGAGGCUCGGUGAAAUAGACAUGUCUGUGAAGAUGCAAACUACCUGCACCUGGACAGAAAGACCCUAUAAAGCUUCACUGUUCCCUGGGAUUGGCUUUGGGCCUUUCCUGCGCAGCUUAGGUGGAGGGUGAAGAAGGCCUCCUUCCGUGGCUGCUCGAGCCAUCAGUGAGAUUCCACUCUAGAAGAGAUAGAAUUCUAACCUUAUGUCAAAACUUACGGGCCAAAGGACAAUCUCAGGUAGACAGUUUCUAUGGGGCAUAGGCCUUCCAAAAUGUAAUAGAGGCAUGCAAAGGUUUCCUCGGGCCAGACAGAGAUUGGCCUUCAAGUACCAAUGUAGACGAGAGCUUGACUGCAAGACCCACCCAUCGAGCAGGGACGAAAAUUGGCCUUAGUGAUCCGAUGGUGCCAAGUGGAAGGGCCGUCACUCAAUGGAUAAAAGUUACUCUAGGGAUAAUAGGCUGAUCUUCCCCAAAAGCUCACAUCGAUGGGAAGGUUUGGCACCUCGAUGUUGGGUCUUCACCACCUGGGGCUGUAGUAUGUUCGAAGGGUUAGGCUGUUCACCCAUUAAAGCAGUACAUGAGCUGGGUUCAGAACGUCAUGAGACAGUUUGGUCCAUAUCUGGUGCAGGCGUUAGAGCAUUGGGAGGACCUUUCCUUAUUACGAGAGGAUCGGAAAGGACACACCUCUAGUGUACCAGUUAUGAUGCUCACGGUAAAUGCUGGGUGGCCAAGUGUGGAGCGGAUAACUACUGAAAGCAUCUAAGUAUUAAGCCCACCCCAAGAUGAGUGCUCUCUUAUUCCGACUUCCCAGAGCUUCCGGUGGCACAGCCAAGGCAGCGAUGGGUUUUCUGCCCUUGCGGGGGUGGAGCGACAGAAGGUUUGAGAAUUCAAGAGAAGGUCACAAUGAGACGAGCCGUUUAUCAUUACGAUAGGUGUCAGGUGGAAGUGCAGUGAUGUAUGCAGUUGAGUCAUCCUAACAGACCGGUAGACUUGAAC